UACGGAGGAUCCAAGCGUUAUCCGGAUUUAUUGGGUUUAAAGGGUGCGCAGGCGGGAGAUUAAGUCGGUGGUGAAAUUUUGCAGCUCAACUGUAAAAGUGCCAUUGAUACUGGUUUUCUUGAGUGUAGAUGAAGUAGGCGGAAUUUGUGGUGUAGCGGUGAAAUGCAUAGAUAUCACGAGGAACUCCGAUUGCGCAGGCAGCUUACUAAACUAUAACUGACGCUCAGGCACGAAGGCGUGGGGAUCAAACAGGAUUAGAUA
Molecule: ribosomal RNA, 261 nt
Filed under: uncultured prokaryote
Description: partial 16S ribosomal RNA
Rfam family: Bacterial small subunit ribosomal RNA
Source: RNAcentral